UACGUAGGGUGCAAGCGUUGUCCGGAAUUAUUGGGCGUAAAGAGCUCGUAGGCGGUUUGUCGCGUCUGCUGUGAAAACCCGAGGCUCAACCUCGGGCCUGCAGUGGGUACGGGCAGACUAGAGUGCGGUAGGGGAGAUUGGAAUUCCUGGUGUAGCGGUGGAAUGCGCAGAUAUCAGGAGGAACACCAAUGGCGAAGGCAGAUCUCUGGGCCGGAACUGACGCUGAGGAGCGAAAGCGUGGGGAGCAAACAGG
This 253-nucleotide ribosomal RNA is filed under the name uncultured bacterium. Its description in RNAcentral is "partial 16S ribosomal RNA". It matches the Rfam family "Bacterial small subunit ribosomal RNA", at positions 524 to 776 of the family's 1533-position model. The record is from RNAcentral.